CUAUUGGCCGAGACCAAUGAGGACACCGAUGUCGUAAAUUCAACACCAUGGUCUCAGCCAAAGCGGUUUAUUCGAAAGCCUCCAAGAUUUUUGUCGCCGGUGGUUGUUGGCCCAAGUAUCAUGCCAUCUGACGUGUCGCUGAGCGUUCAGCUCAGGGACUUCUUAUUGACCAAUGGUGGUCGUAUGGACAGCGUGAAAUUGCUAGAGAUUGACAGCUCCGUUGCGUAUGGAUACGAUGUACUCAAAUCAUUCUCCAACGGGAAUCUGACAGAGGGGCUAUUCAUAGACGCGUUCAGCUCGAUUCUGUUCAAGGAAGACAUGAGGAACAGGCCAGAUACUUUUGGAAAAAGGAUUUUCUUACCGACUUCUGUCUCGUAUCUCCUAAACAACGACUUUAUCAAACAAAAUGGUGAGACACAUGAUUUCUCCGCCGAUGCUUUGGCCAGAAACUUGCGCGACUAUAUCCAGAACGUUCCGAUGACGAAGACUCAGAUGAGCGACCACCACCGUGCGUUGUCCAAACGCAUCGUCAAGGGUCUGAGCGAUGCGCUGCAGGAGGUAGCGCCUAAGAGUUUCUGCAGGUUCGGCGGCUUCAGGAGGAACAUGAUGAAGUGCCCAAAAAUGCAAAUAUGCUCCAACGACUGUGCAUUUUACAUCAUGCGGUCCAUGGAGGCUUACGACGGCAACCGGGAGUCUAUCGAGACUCUUUCCAUCCCGACCGACUCGUCGCUUGUCCGGUCAAGCAUCCUCCACCAGCUGAUGUUCAGCGAGUACAACCAAGACGCGCCUCUUCAUCCUGACAUCGAGAUGUUCCGCUGA
RNAcentral lists this long non-coding RNA (819 nucleotides) under Oryza sativa Indica Group (long-grained rice). Its description in RNAcentral is "lncRNA OsMH63_03G026030". The record is from RNAcentral. Lineage: Eukaryota; Viridiplantae; Streptophyta; Magnoliopsida; Poales; Poaceae.